RNAcentral lists this ribosomal RNA (1180 nucleotides) under Klebsiella pneumoniae. RNAcentral's name for it is "partial 23S ribosomal RNA". It matches the Rfam family "Bacterial large subunit ribosomal RNA", at positions 1754 to 2925 of the family's 2925-position model. The record is from RNAcentral. Lineage: Bacteria; Pseudomonadati; Pseudomonadota; Gammaproteobacteria; Enterobacterales; Enterobacteriaceae.
CCCUGCGGAUGGAGCUGAGACCAGUCGAAGAUACCAGCUGGCUGCAACUGUUUAUUAAAAACACAGCACUGUGCAAACACGAAAGUGGACGUAUACGGUGUGACGCCUGCCCGGUGCCGGAAGGUUAAUUGAUGGGGUUAUCCGUAAGGAGAAGCUCUUGAUCGAAGCCCCGGUAAACGGCGGCCGUAACUAUAACGGUCCUAAGGUAGCGAAAUUCCUUGUCGGGUAAGUUCCGACCUGCACGAAUGGCGUAAUGAUGGCCAGGCUGUCUCCACCCGAGACUCAGUGAAAUUGAACUCGCUGUGAAGAUGCAGUGUACCCGCGGCAAGACGGAAAGACCCCGUGAACCUUUACUAUAGCUUGACACUGAACAUUGAGCCUUGAUGUGUAGGAUAGGUGGGAGGCUUUGAAGCGUGGACGCCAGUCUGCGUGGAGCCAACCUUGAAAUACCACCCUUUAAUGUUUGAUGUUCUAACGUUGGCCCCUUACCGGGGUUGCGGACAGUGUCUGGUGGGUAGUUUGACUGGGGCGGUCUCCUCCCAAAGCGUAACGGAGGAGCACGAAGGUUAGCUAAUCCUGGUCGGACAUCAGGAGGUUAGUGCAAUGGCAUAAGCUAGCUUGACUGCGAGCGUGACGGCGCGAGCAGGUGCGAAAGCAGGUCAUAGUGAUCCGGUGGUUCUGAAUGGAAGGGCCAUCGCUCAACGGAUAAAAGGUACUCCGGGGAUAACAGGCUGAUACCGCCCAAGAGUUCAUAUCGACGGCGGUGUUUGGCACCUCGAUGUCGGCUCAUCACAUCCUGGGGCUGAAGUAGGUCCCAAGGGUAUGGCUGUUCGCCAUUUAAAGUGGUACGCGAGCUGGGUUUAGAACGUCGUGAGACAGUUCGGUCCCUAUCUGCCGUGGGCGCUGGAGAAUUGAGGGGGGCUGCUCCUAGUACGAGAGGACCGGAGUGGACGCAUCACUGGUGUUCGGGUUGUCAUGCCAAUGGCACUGCCCGGUAGCUAAAUGCGGAAGAGAUAAGUGCUGAAAGCAUCUAAGCACGAAACUUGCCCCGAGAUGAGUUCUCCCUGAGACUUUAAGUCUCCUGAAGGAACGUUGAAGACGACGACGUUGAUAGGCCGGGUGUGUAAGCGCAGCGAUGCGUUGAGCUAACCGGUACUAAUGAACCGUGAGGCUUAACCUU